UUUGAAACGCUUCAUAAAUUAUAUAUGGAAAGUUGAACGAUUCAUCAAUUGCCAUAAGAUCUGUUGCUAAAUUAUGGAAGCGUUUCCAAUUUUAAGGCUUAUAUACAAUUUACUGCUUUUAAUCGGAGGAUUUAAAGGAUCAUUCAAGUCGCCUGCUUUGUUUUAUCUUCAUCAUCCUUUGAAAGUGAAGCAUCUAUUUGCCUCAGAUGGGUUCAGUCGAUUAUUAUGCUGCCAUGACCCACCGUGUCCGCCUUUUUCAUUGUCGCCGCCUCGCCGCCGCCACCGUCGAGUCUUCUUUGGCGUUUCUUGAUGGCAAUGCAACUUAUCAGCUUCAGUCUCUUGGAUUGUUGAUAAGGUAGAAGUGACCCGGGAAGCAAUAGUUAUUGGCGAUGGUGAUGACAACGAUGGAUGGGCACCAAAAUUGGAGGUGGAGGAUAACUACAAUGCACAUCUUUGAUUUUUGUGUUUUUAUGUAUUAGAAGUUAAUAUGUGUUUGUAGAGGAUUUGAAUUUUUUUUUAUAUAUUAUGUGCAUUUGACAU
This 540-nucleotide long non-coding RNA is filed under the name Helianthus annuus (common sunflower). The record is from RNAcentral. Lineage: Eukaryota; Viridiplantae; Streptophyta; Magnoliopsida; Asterales; Asteraceae.